UUUGUUUAGACUUUCGCCAAAACUCUGCGAGCGUCAACCCAUUUAUCCGUGCUUCCUUGUUUGGUUUUGUUAGACGCUGAAUGCGGUGGUAUUGUAUACAAGGGUAGAUGUUCGCUGGGUUUUUGACGAAAUACCUAUAACAAA
This 144-nucleotide microRNA precursor is filed under the name Picea abies (Norway spruce). RNAcentral describes it as "miR11407a stem-loop (pab-MIR11407a)". Lineage: Eukaryota; Viridiplantae; Streptophyta; Pinopsida; Pinales; Pinaceae. The record is from miRBase by way of RNAcentral.